GCCAGGGAACUACGAGCAAAGCUUAAAACCCAAAGGACUUGACGGUGCCCCAUAUCCCCCUAGAGGAGCCUGUCCUAUAACCGAUGAUCCCCGUUUAACCUCACCACUUCUAGCUAAUCAGCUUGUAUACUUCCGUCCCCAGCUUACCACGUGAGCGAAAUUCAGUUAGCUCAACUGGCCUAACACUUAUCAACCCCCCGCCAAUACGUCAGGUCGAAGUGCAGCAAAUGAAGUGGAAUGAGAUUGGCUACACUUUUUAAUUUAAAAGAUACGAAAGACAAAUAAUGAAACUUUGUCAGAAGGUGGAUUUAGCAGUAAAAAGAAUUCAUUACAUCCAUUUUAAGUAGGCACUGGAGCGUGU
This 361-nucleotide ribosomal RNA is filed under the name Eleutherodactylus ronaldi. RNAcentral's name for it is "partial 12S ribosomal RNA". It matches the Rfam family "Bacterial small subunit ribosomal RNA", at positions 871 to 1384 of the family's 1533-position model. The record is from RNAcentral. Lineage: Eukaryota; Metazoa; Chordata; Amphibia; Anura; Eleutherodactylidae.